RNAcentral lists this ribosomal RNA (657 nucleotides) under uncultured bacterium. RNAcentral describes it as "bacterial SSU rRNA". It matches the Rfam family "Bacterial small subunit ribosomal RNA", at positions 187 to 848 of the family's 1533-position model. The record is from RNAcentral.
GCAUCUUCUUGUUAUUAAAGAAUUUCGAUAACCGAUGGGGAUGCGUUCCAUUAGUUUGUUGGCGGGGUAACGGCCCACCAAGACAUCGAUGGAUAGGGGUUCUGAGAGGAAGGUCCCCCACAUUGGAACUGAGACACGGUCCAAACUCCUACGGGAGGCAGCAGUGAGGAAUAUUGGUCAAUGGACGAGAGUCUGAGCCAGCCAAGUAGCGUGAAGGAUGACUGCCCUAUGGGUUGUAAACUUCUUUUAUAUGGGAAUAAAGUGAGCCACGUGUGGCUUUUUGUAUGUACCAUACGAAUAAGGAUCGGCUAACUCCGUGCCAGCAGCCGCGGUAAUACGGAGGAUCCGAGCGUUAUCCGGAUUUAUUGGGUUUAAAGGGAGCGUAGGCGGACUAUUAAGUCAGCUGUGAAAGUUUGCGGCUCAACCGUAAAAUUGCAGUUGAUACUGGUCGUCUUGAGUGCAGUAGAGGUAGGCGGAAUUCGUGGUGUAGCGGUGAAAUGCUUAGAUAUCACGAAGAACUCCGAUUGCGAAGGCAGCUUACUGGACUGUAACUGACGCUGAUGCUCGAAAGUGUGGGUAUCAAACAGGAUUAGAUACCCUGGUAGUCCACACAGUAAACGAUGAAUACUCGCUGUUUGCGAUAUACAGCAAGCGGCC